This 667-nucleotide ribosomal RNA is filed under the name uncultured bacterium. RNAcentral describes it as "bacterial SSU rRNA". It matches the Rfam family "Bacterial small subunit ribosomal RNA", at positions 614 to 1280 of the family's 1533-position model. The record is from RNAcentral.
UGUGAGCGUGCGGGCGAUACGGGCAGACUUGAGUACUGCAGGGGAGACUGGAAUUCCUGGUGUAGCGGUGGAAUGCGCAGAUAUCAGGAGGAACACCGGUGGCGAAGGCGGGUCUCUGGGCAGUAACUGACGCUGAGGAGCGAAAGCGUGGGGAGCGAACAGGAUUAGAUACCCUGGUAGUCCACGCCGUAAACGGUGGGUACUAGGUGUGGGUUUCCUUCCUUGGGAUCCGUGCCGUAGCUAACGCAUUAAGUACCCCGCCUGGGGAGUACGGCCGCAAGGCUAAAACUCAAAGAAAUUGACGGGGGCCCGCACAAGCGGCGGAGCAUGUGGAUUAAUUCGAUGCAACGCGAAGAACCUUACCUGGGUUUGACAUGCACAGGACGCCGGCAGAGAUGUCGGUUCCCUUGUGGCCUGUGUGCAGGUGGUGCAUGGCUGUCGUCAGCUCGUGUCGUGAGAUGUUGGGUUAAGUCCCGCAACGAGCGCAACCCUUGUCUCAUGUUGCCAGCGGGUAAUGCCGGGGACUCGUGAGAGACUGCCGGGGUCAACUCGGAGGAAGGUGGGGAUGACGUCAAGUCAUCAUGCCCCUUAUGUCCAGGGCUUCACACAUGCUACAAUGGCCGGUACAAAGGGCUGCGAUGCCGCGAGGUUAAGCGAAUCCUUUUAA